RNAcentral lists this transfer RNA (72 nucleotides) under Bos taurus (domestic cattle). It matches the Rfam family "tRNA". Rfam says of the family: Transfer RNA (tRNA) molecules are approximately 80 nucleotides in length. Lineage: Eukaryota; Metazoa; Chordata; Mammalia; Artiodactyla; Bovidae. The record is from Rfam by way of RNAcentral.
UCCCUGGUAGUCCAGUGGCUAAGAUCCUGAGCUCUCAGUGCAGGGGCCCAGGUUCAAUUCUUGGUCAGGGAA